Long non-coding RNA from Clupea harengus (Atlantic herring), 286 nucleotides. Lineage: Eukaryota; Metazoa; Chordata; Actinopteri; Clupeiformes; Clupeidae. The record is from Ensembl.
CAGCAUUGACAGGGGGCUGACGUCUGAGCUCCAGAUAUCACUCGUAAAGCUAAUGAAAGAAGAAGUGUUCGAUUUUUAAAGGUGUCAAAUACUUCAGUAGCUACUACAGUAACUGAAUGGGCUUCUGAUCCAGUUUCUCUUUGUGUUGGACUCCUACAUCCAGAUCCUCCUCACGUCAGGAGAAGACACAGUAUGGAGAGAUAUGAACAAAACAGUAAGUCUUCAUGUUUGAGAGUGUGAUUAAUUGAAUGUUUUAAAAACUUUCAAGGGAUUUAAAAGCUGGCAA